UACGUAGGGGGCAAGCGUUGUCCGGAUUUAUUGGGCGUAAAGAGCGUGUAGGCGGCCUGGAAGGUCAGCUGUGAAAACUCGAGGCUCAACCUCGAGACGUCGGUUGAAACCACCUGGCUAGAGUCCGGAAGAGGAGAGUGGAAUUCCCGGUGUAGCGGUGAAAUGCGCAGAUAUCGGGAGGAACACCAGUGGCGAAGGCGACUACCUGGCCUGUUCUUGACGCUGAGGCGCGAAAGCUAGGGGAGCAAACGGG
RNAcentral lists this ribosomal RNA (253 nucleotides) under uncultured bacterium. RNAcentral's name for it is "partial 16S ribosomal RNA". It matches the Rfam family "Bacterial small subunit ribosomal RNA", at positions 524 to 776 of the family's 1533-position model. The record is from RNAcentral.